GACGAACGCUGGCGGCGUGCUUAACACAUGCAAGUCGAACGAAGAGCGAUGGAAGCUUGCUUCUAUCAAUCUUAGUGGCGAACGGGUGAGUAACGCGUAAUCAACCUGCCCUUCAGAGGGGGACAACAGUUGGAAACGACUGCUAAUACCGCAUACGAUCUAAUCUCGGCAUCGAGGAUAGAUGAAAGGUGGCCUCUACAUGUAAGCUAUCACUGAAGGAGGGGAUUGCGUCUGAUUAGCUAGUUGGAGGGGUAACGGCCCACCAAGGCGAUGAUCAGUAGCCGGUCUGAGAGGAUGAACGGCCACAUUGGGACUGAGACACGGCCCAGACUCCUACGGGAGGCAGCAGUGGGGAAUCUUCCGCAAUGGACGAAAGUCUGACGGGGCAACGCCGCGUGAGCGAUGACGGCCUUCGGGUUGUAAAGCUCUGUUAAUCGGGACGAAAGGCCUUCUUGCGAAUAGUGAGAAGGAUUGACGGUACCGGAAUAGAAAGCCACGGCUAACUACGUG
RNAcentral lists this ribosomal RNA (510 nucleotides) under uncultured bacterium. RNAcentral describes it as "partial 16S ribosomal RNA". It matches the Rfam family "Bacterial small subunit ribosomal RNA", at positions 28 to 507 of the family's 1533-position model. The record is from RNAcentral.